Molecule: transfer RNA, 76 nt
Filed under: bacterium
Lineage: Bacteria
Description: tRNA-Ala
Rfam family: tRNA
About the family: Transfer RNA (tRNA) molecules are approximately 80 nucleotides in length. Their secondary structure includes four short double-helical elements and three loops (D, anti-codon, and T loops).
Source: RNAcentral
GGGGAAUUAGCUCAGCUGAUAGAGCACUUGACCUGCACUCAAGAGGUCGUGAGUUUGAAUCUCAUAUUCUCCACCA